UAUAUCAAAGUGAUUCGGAAGUCCCAACUACUUAUCUUUUAAAUAUUGACCCCAAUAUAUCUUGAUUCCUCAGAUAUCAAAGUUUUCGUAGUCUUAUUGAGUUCGAGAUAAUAAGGUUUGACUGUAUUUAAAAUGAAAUUCUCUCAAUUAUUAAACCAUGUUUACUGUACUAUUUAUAUUUCUGUCAUCUUUUCUAUAUUAAGAUGAUGUAUGUCCAUGACCUGUAAUUUUUUUGUUAAUGGAAUUUUUCGAAGUACUGAAUCAUAUCAAUUUAAAGUUCUUUUUUAAAAUAUUUGUAGAUGCAAUUUUUAAAGUACCAGUAGAGAUCUCCGAAGUUAAAUGUCACCUCUCUCCUUUAUUACAUGUAUAUGUAUGGCACAAACCGUGGCUUGAGACGAUGUUACAAAAGAUAGGUCAUACUUUCUGUCUUCAGUUCAUUUUCUUCAAAUGAUGAAUUACAAUGAAUUCAGUUAAUUUACACUGUGUGGUAGAUUCAUUAAAUCACUAAACAAGUUUUGAAAGACUGAGGUAUUUUAUAGAACUUCAGGGAAUUUUAAGUCUAAAUGUAUAGUGUUAAAAUCUUCUACUGACUAAGAAUUAGAUCUCAGUUCUUGGAAAGGCGACUAAAUUUUGUGAAAGCAACAUUUUUGUACUUUUUUCUGGAAAAACAGAAAAAAACCAAGACUUUAUGGAAUUUUUUUAAUUCACAUUUUUUGCAAUAGUAUAGUUAUGCAAGUGCUUAUUCAUACAUAAGUCUCUAAGGGUCUGAGAACUUGCAUUGGUACACAAAUAAUGUGUGGAAAUUCUAGGAAGGACACCUGCUUUUUAUGCAUGGUCAAGGUAUAAACAAUAUUUUGUACAUAGAAUUUUUCUAGAAGACAUGAAAACGUGAUUUUUUGGGAAAAAAAGAAAUCAGCUUUUUUGAUUUUUAUCAUACUUUAAAGUGACUGAGAAUUUUUACAGGAAAAGUUUCCCUUUAUACAGAAUUUCAAAAAAGAACAUUUGAAGUCUGUCAUAAUAUAAUGUACUGUAUGUAGAAAGAAAAAGUACACAUAGAUUUUUAUUUAUGAGAAUUAUUCAUUUACUUGUAUGAAAUUAAUAAAAUAUUUAUUUUUUCAAAAUUUUAUUAUAUAUUUGUUACAUGUGUGUAUUAGAAAAAUAAUUUGGCAUAUUUCUUUUUCAUUUACAUGUAUUUGUUAUGAACAGGUUUACUUCCUAGCUUGCUUGCUGGUUUAUAGAGUGUCAACAUUUUAUUGUUUAAAUAAAUCAGUUUUCUUUGAGUAUGAAAUGGCAAUAAAUAUAUUCAAAUUUAAACCAAAAUAAUAAAGAAUAAACAUCAAGAAUUUCUUGAACUUCUUUGUAA
Molecule: long non-coding RNA, 1363 nt
Organism: Saccostrea cuccullata (small rock oyster)
Lineage: Eukaryota; Metazoa; Mollusca; Bivalvia; Ostreida; Ostreidae
Exons: 2
Source: RefSeq, a predicted model, not a curated record